UACAGAGGUCCCAAGCGUUGUUCGGAUUCACUGGGCGUAAAGGGUGCGUAGGCGGUCGGGUAAGUCUGAUGUGAAGUCUCACAGCUUAACUGUGAAACUGCAUUGGAUACUAUCCGGCUAGAGGAAUGGAGGGGAGACUGGAAUACUUGGUGUAGCAGUGAAAUGCGUAGAUAUCAAGUGGAACACCAGUGGCGAAGGCGAGUCUCUGGACAUUUCCUGACACUGAGGCACGAAAGCCAGGGGAGCGAACGGG
This 253-nucleotide ribosomal RNA is filed under the name uncultured bacterium. RNAcentral's name for it is "partial 16S ribosomal RNA". It matches the Rfam family "Bacterial small subunit ribosomal RNA", at positions 524 to 776 of the family's 1533-position model. The record is from RNAcentral.